AUUGAACGCUGGCGGCAGGCCUAACACAUGCAAGUCGAGCGGAUGAAGGGAGCUUGCUCCUGGAUUCAGCGGCGGACGGGUGAGUAAUGCCUAGGAAUCUGCCUGGUAGUGGGGGAUAACGUCCGGAAACGGGCGCUAAUACCGCAUACGUCCUGAGGGAGGAAGUGGGGGAUCUUCGGACCUCACGCUAUCAGAUGAGCCUAGGUCGGAUUAGCUAGUUGGUGGGGUAAAGGCCUACCAAGGCGACGAUCCGUAACUGGUCUGAGAGGAUGAUCAGUCACACUGGAACUGAGACACGGUCCAGACUCCUACGGGAGGCAGCAGUGGGGAAUAUUGGACAAUGGGCGAAAGCCUGAUCCAGCCAUGCCGCGUGUGUGAAGAAGGUCUUCGGAUUGUAAAGCACCUUAAGUUGGGAGGAAGGGCAGUAAGUUAAUACCUUGCUGUUUUGACGUUACCAACAGAAUAAGCACCGGCUAACUUCGUG
This 484-nucleotide ribosomal RNA is filed under the name uncultured bacterium. RNAcentral describes it as "partial 16S ribosomal RNA". It matches the Rfam family "Bacterial small subunit ribosomal RNA", at positions 30 to 507 of the family's 1533-position model. The record is from RNAcentral.